This 291-nucleotide RNase P RNA is filed under the name Xenopus tropicalis (tropical clawed frog). RNAcentral's name for it is "Nuclear RNase P (ENSXETG00000044556.1)". It matches the Rfam family "Nuclear RNase P". Rfam says of the family: Ribonuclease P (RNase P) is a ubiquitous endoribonuclease, found in archaea, bacteria and eukarya as well as chloroplasts and mitochondria. Its best characterised activity is the generation of mature 5'-ends of tRNAs by cleaving the 5'-leader elements of precursor-tRNAs. Lineage: Eukaryota; Metazoa; Chordata; Amphibia; Anura; Pipidae. The record is from RNAcentral.
GGGGAUAUAUAUAGUAGAUAAUGGGGGACAGACAGAGUGCUGGGGGGUCACUCACUGAGUGUGACUCAGGGAAGGGCUGAGAGCCCCCCCUACAGGGCAUCACUUGGAUGGAGUGAGUGGGUACCCAGAAAGCUUGGGCCUGAUUGGCCAGAGAGUGCAGAAGAUGCAGCCUGGGCCCCUGUGUUGGGCUCCUGCAAAGGCAUCAGGCCUGGCACUGCCCACAGCGGGCACAUUCAGCUCAUUGGCUGAGAGGGAACUGCCGGCCCUUUCCCAAUUCAGACGACUCUCCCU